UGACUGACCGAUAGUGAACCAGUACCGUGAGGGAAAGGCGAAAAGAACCCCGGCGAGGGGAGUGAAAAAGAACCUGAAACCGUGUACGUACAAGCAGUGGGAGCACAGGUUUACCUGUGUGACUGCGUACCUUUUGUAUAAUGGGUCAGCGACUUAUAUUCUGUAGCAAGGUUAACCGAAUAGGGGAGCCGGAGGGAAACCGAGUCUUAAUUGGGCGUUAAGUUGCAGGGUAUAGACCCGAAACCCGGUGAUCUAGCCAUGGGCAGGUUGAAGGUUGGGUAACACUAACUGGAGGACCGAACCGACUAAUGUUGAAAAAUUAGCGGAUGACCUGUGGCUGGGGGUGAAAGGCCAAUCAAACCGGGAGAUAGCUGGUUCUCCCCGAAAGCUAUUUAGGUAGCGCCUCGUGAAUUCAUCUCCGGGGGUAGAGCACUGUUUCGGCUAGGGGGCCAUCCCGGCUUACCAACCCGAUGCAAACUGCGAAUACCGGAGAAUGUUAUCACGGGAGACACACGGCGGGUGCUAACGUCCGUCGUGAAGAGGGAAACAACCCAGACCGCCAGCUAAGGUCCCAAAGUCAUGGUUAAGUGGGAAACGAUGUGGGAAGGCCCAGACAGCCAGGAUGUUGGCUUAGAAGCAGCCAUCAUUUAAAGAAAGCGUAAUAGCUCACUGGUCGAGUCGGCCUGCGCGGAAGAUGUAACGGGGCUAAACCAUG
Molecule: ribosomal RNA, 715 nt
Filed under: Salmonella enterica
Lineage: Bacteria; Pseudomonadati; Pseudomonadota; Gammaproteobacteria; Enterobacterales; Enterobacteriaceae
Description: partial 23S ribosomal RNA
Rfam family: Bacterial large subunit ribosomal RNA
Source: RNAcentral